ACUCCUACGGGAGGCAGCAGUGGGGAAUUUUCCGCAAUGGACGAAAGUCUGACGGAGCAAUGCCGCGUGAGUGAUGAAGGUUUUCGAAUCGUAAAGCUCUGUUGUAAGGGAAGAAUAGCAAGAAUAGGAAAUGAUUCUUGNCUUGACGGUACCUUACCAGAAAGCCACGGCUAACUACGUGCCAGCAGCCGCGGUAAUACGUAGGUGGCAAGCGUUAUCCGGAAUUAUUGGGCGUAAAGCGCAUGUAGGCGGCUUUUUAAGUCUGAUGUGAAAGCCAGUGGCUCAACC
RNAcentral lists this ribosomal RNA (288 nucleotides) under uncultured bacterium. RNAcentral describes it as "partial 16S ribosomal RNA". It matches the Rfam family "Bacterial small subunit ribosomal RNA", at positions 335 to 614 of the family's 1533-position model. The record is from RNAcentral.